Molecule: ribosomal RNA, 369 nt
Filed under: uncultured Anaerolineaceae bacterium
Lineage: Bacteria; Bacillati; Chloroflexota; Anaerolineae; Anaerolineales; Anaerolineaceae
Description: bacterial SSU rRNA
Rfam family: Bacterial small subunit ribosomal RNA
Source: RNAcentral
GUAGGGAACUGAAAGGACGACCUUCGGGAGCCUAUACAGGUGUUGCAUGGCUGUCGUCAGCUCGUGUCGUGAGAUGUUCGGUUAAGUCCGCUAACGAGCGCAACCCUCGUCGUAUGUUAUAUGUGUCAUACGAGACUGCCGGUAAAAAGCCGGAGGAAGGUGAGGAUGAUGUCAAGUCAGCAUGACCUUUAUAUCCAGGGCUACACACACGCUACAAUGGUCUGUACAAUGGGUAGCCAAGCCGCGAGGCGGAGCCAAUCCUGAAAGCAGGCCUCAGUUCAGAUUGCAGUCUGCAACUCGACUGCAUGAAGCCGGAGUUGCUAGUAACCGCAGGUCAGCAAUACUGCGGUGAAUACGUUCCCGGGUCUU